Vespula pensylvanica (western yellowjacket) is the source of this 193-nucleotide small nuclear RNA. RefSeq annotates it as U2 spliceosomal RNA. The transcript has a single exon. The record is from RefSeq and is a predicted model, not a curated record. NCBI's taxonomy places the organism in Eukaryota, Metazoa, Arthropoda, Insecta, Hymenoptera, Vespidae.
AUCGCUUCUCGGCCUUAUGGCUAAGAUCAAAGUGUAGUAUCUGUUCUUAUCAGCUUAAUAUCUGAUAAACUACUCAUAGAGUAGUUCCAAAUAUUAGCUUGAUUUUUGAAAGUAUGUAGAGUGCUGAAGCUUGCUUCGCAUCUGCUUCGAGUUGAACCGGCGUUGCAGUAUUGCCUGCAUCAACUCGUAUAAU